UUUUAAGGAAGAAAAUGACUACUUUAAGCAUACGCAGCCAGGCUGCAGCUCAACAGAGCCCCUUGUUGAGUAUAACCUCUCUUCUCAAGUUUGUUAACACGAGAGACCAUUUGUGUGGAAUCUUUUAAUCAUAGGAUUGGGAUGUUUUUCUGCCAAAAAUUUCCGAUGGUUAAAGGGCUUGUGUUUUUGGUAUAAACCCAAUAUUCAAUCUUUCAUGUUUCUGCUCAUCAUUUUUAGUCAAGUUUGUUAUUCAUAUACUUUGUCUCUGUGUUUUAUAUACAAUUAUAUCUCAUCUAAUUGGAACUUACAAAUAUUGUAGACAAAUUUACUAUCUUGCACCCAAAUUUUCUGAUGAGAAUCUAAUUUUGAUGAAGGUGGACGCUGAGGUGUAUGAUAUGAUUGCCACAAAAAAAGGUUUUAAUCAAGGUCUGGUUUGGUGUUUGAUCACAGGUUUAUGUACGGUGGUUGUUCAUGGUAAAUUAUUCAGUCGUAUCUUUCGGACCAAUCAAUGGACGGAAUACAUUCACUUGUAAUAUUCGAGAGUUUUGGUCUCUACUAGCAAAUGUUAUGCAAGGAGGCGAUAACUUAGAACAGAGAAUGGGGGCAUGGUCUAGAAGGAAACAGGUGAGAGUUUUGGUCUCUACUUGCAAAUGUUAUGCAAAGAGGCGGUAAUCUAGAACAGAGAAUGGGGGCAUGGU
Molecule: long non-coding RNA, 698 nt
Filed under: Daucus carota (carrot)
Lineage: Eukaryota; Viridiplantae; Streptophyta; Magnoliopsida; Apiales; Apiaceae
Description: long non-coding RNA (DCAR_LNC001253)
Source: RNAcentral